This 866-nucleotide long non-coding RNA is filed under the name Anser cygnoides (Swan goose). RNAcentral's name for it is "lncRNA (ENSACDG00005002150.1)". Lineage: Eukaryota; Metazoa; Chordata; Aves; Anseriformes; Anatidae. The record is from RNAcentral.
AUGGUUUUUGGAUUUCCAGGUGCCAGUGCUUGUGAGCAGCUGGGCUUGCUUUCAAGCCUCUUAUUUUGCUCACCUGCUGAGCUGGGCUUGCCCCAGAAUGAGGGCCACCUGCAGAGCCUUAGGGUUGCUGUGUUGGUUGAGAAAAGGGAUGAUGCGGGUGGGGUGGAGGGUUUUGCGUUGGUGUUUUUGGGUGGCAGAAGGCAGCCUUCCUUGGUUGGGUCUUUGCCCCUGAAAGAUUGGUGUGCUGGAUCCUUGGUAGUAGCUAGGCGAACACCACCGAGGAAUAUUUAUUUUCUAGAGGGGAAACAGUCCGAGCAGAAAACCCAGACUACUCUGACUAUUCCUUCCUGGUAAGAGGUAAGAUUUCUUAAGUGUAAAGGUAAAUACUAACCCUAAGUCUCGCUCUCACCUCUCACUUUCUAAUGUGGAGGUGCUCAAAAUCUAUUGGAGAUCCCCACAUAACUGGAGUUUUCCUUUAAGGAAAAACCUUUUCCUUUCCACUGAUGCUUUUCCUUUGCAUCAGUGCAAAGACCUUUUCCGUUAUAGUACGGAAUUGCUCAGAAUAAUCUGUAGAGAAGAAAAAAUUUUGCUGAAAUAAGUUGGGAUGUUGCUUAUUUUCAGGGAAUUAGUGUGAAAUGAGGACUGUCUCUUAAAUUUCUGCUGGAUCAUGUCUUCCUUCAAUUUUGUUUAACAAAAAUUAAUAUGGUAUUUUAAAUUUCACCUUGCUGUUGCAUGUAAGCCACUGCUCUGCCAGCGAGUCAAAUAAGGAAAAGUCUUAAAAGUAAUUCACUUUCAGAAAUAUGCACUUGUUACUUUUUAGAUAUUGAUAUUUUCAACUCCCAGUUUCAUGCUUAUCUGAAGAAAUG